AAAGUGCGAAAAGUGUCAUGACUUGCAGAUUCCCGAGAGCUGACAAAUCUCUGAAUGCAAAUGGCAGCCGAGUGAGACCCGGCUAUGUAUUGUAGAGUGUAGACGCUCCAGCUAUUCAUCAUUCCCAUCUCCCCCGUCUCUCUAUCCAGAGAGUUGAGGAAGAGAACGAGAGAAUGGAUCUGCGCUUGUACACUAGAUUAGUUCUAGCUGUACGAGUGUUAAAUGUAAAGGUCGGUGAAGGAGAGGUAACACUCAACUUCACAAGGAGCACCGAUGAAACGCAUACAUACGCUAUGAAUCUCAUUGUGUGUCUUCAACACGACAACCACUCAUAUAUGAGCCACCUCUAUGAUGCAAGAUAACCCGCUGAACUUAA
RNAcentral lists this unclassified non-coding RNA (376 nucleotides) under uncultured fungus. RNAcentral describes it as "sequence contains ITS1". The stretch from base 1 to 102 matches the Rfam family "5.8S ribosomal RNA", at positions 50 to 154 of the family's 154-position model. Lineage: Eukaryota; Fungi. The record is from RNAcentral.